Molecule: long non-coding RNA, 387 nt
Filed under: Gallus gallus (chicken)
Lineage: Eukaryota; Metazoa; Chordata; Aves; Galliformes; Phasianidae
Source: RNAcentral
UUCUUCGCAACCCAGACGGUUAUAUAAGAUUCACUGGGUGCCAUUGCCAAUUUACUGAAAGCAAUUUUUUGAUAUUGCACAUCAUUUCAGUGAUGUUGUAAAGACACUGAAAACUGGAAUAUUUGCUACCUUUUGUUCUAAAGACUUUAUUAGUUUGGGAACAUCAGAUUCCAAACAAUGCAAUUAUUCAUCAUUAAUUUUUUUUCCACUCUUCCCUCUGGAAUAAACUCUAUUUCAGGUCAAGCUUGUUGGGAAAUUUCAAUGCGAGACAGAGCAAUCAGACAACAAACAAAAGCAGAAGUUUGGUUGUCAUGGAUGUAUUUUUAAUGCACGUUCCAGGAUCCUUGCUCGUCUGAAGGUGUGCAGAUGGAAAACCUAAGUGCCUCC